This is a long non-coding RNA of Ochlerotatus camptorhynchus, 405 nucleotides long. RefSeq lists it as uncharacterized. The transcript is spliced from 3 exons. The record is from RefSeq and is a predicted model, not a curated record. NCBI's taxonomy places the organism in Eukaryota, Metazoa, Arthropoda, Insecta, Diptera, Culicidae.
CCGCUUAAUUUGGCUUGACGUCAGAUGAGUCACGAAGAGCGAGGAAAAGUUGGGAAGGACAAUAAUUUUCCUCCAUGGAAAAUAAUAGUCGCAUCAGAUAAACCGAAACCGAGUCCGAAACAAUAGUCAUCUGCGAGCGGACGAGAUGGCUAGGAAUGAAAAAACCCUCACCAAAAACGGUCUAAUUUGAUACCUUCCUUCCGCUAUCCGCUGCCGUAAAAUCUCCACCGGUAAACAAUGACGCUGCUGACAAUGCUGCAAUGUGACAUCACCAUGUACCUGUUACUGUAGCAGGUUUACUCAAAGCGAGAAUAGCUCCAAGACGCAAUAACGGAAACAUCAACAAAGAUAACAAUAACAAUGUAAAAAAAAAUGGAUCUUCUCCUAUUGCAAAAUAAUAAUAAA